CCGCGGUAUUUUGACCGUGAUAAGGUAGCGCAAUCACUUGUCUUUUAAAUGAAGACCUGUAUGAAUGGUGGAACGAGGGCUUAACUGUCUCCCUUCUCCGGUCAAUGAAAUUGAUCUGCCCGUGCAGAAGCGGGCAUACAAAUACAAGACGAGAAGACCCUUUGGAGCUUUAGACAAAAGGCCAAUCUUCGGUUGGGGCGACCGCGGGGGAAAACAAAGCCCCCACGUGGAAUGUAAAACUAAGAGAGACAUCUCUAAGCCACAGAACAUCUGACCCCGAUCAACGAACCAAGUUACCCUAGGGAUAACAGCGCAAUCCCCUCCAAGAGUUCAUAUCGACGAGAGGGUUUACGACCUCGAUGUUGGAUCAGGACAUCCUAAUGGUGCAGCC
This 391-nucleotide ribosomal RNA is filed under the name Semaprochilodus laticeps. RNAcentral's name for it is "partial 16S ribosomal RNA". It matches the Rfam family "Bacterial large subunit ribosomal RNA", at positions 1931 to 2560 of the family's 2925-position model. The record is from RNAcentral. Lineage: Eukaryota; Metazoa; Chordata; Actinopteri; Characiformes; Prochilodontidae.